Mangifera indica (mango) is the source of this 1124-nucleotide RNA transcript. It is a transcript of the gene named rac-like GTP-binding protein RHO1, with no coding region annotated. The record is from RefSeq and is a predicted model, not a curated record. The transcript is spliced from 6 exons. NCBI's taxonomy places the organism in Eukaryota, Viridiplantae, Streptophyta, Magnoliopsida, Sapindales, Anacardiaceae.
CUGUCGGUGACCAGUGUAUAUUAUUUGGCCUAAUAAAUGAGCGCUUCCAGGUUCAUUAAGUGUGUAACUGUCGGUGAUGGUGCCGUCGGCAAAACCUGCAUGUUAAUUUCCUAUACCAGCAACAGUUUUCCGACGGACUAUGUGCCAACUGUGUUUGACAAUUUCAGUGCAAAUGUAGUUGUCCAUGGCAACACCGUAAACUUGGGACUGUGGGAUACAGCUGGUCAGGAGGAUUACAAUAGACUAAGACCAUUGAGUUACAGAGGCGCCGAUGUCUUUAUUCUCGCUUUCUCUCUUAUUAGUAAGGCCCGCUUUGAAAAUGUUGUCAAGAAGUGGAUUCCAGAAUUGAGACACUAUGCACCUGGUGUUCCAAUUGUCCUUGUUGGAAGAAAGCUUGAUCUUCCAGAUGAUCAGCAGUUCUUUAUUGAUCAUCCCGGUGCAGUGCCUAUCACUACAGCUCAGAUAGCAGAACAAUAUCCUCAGAUUAAUGCUAACUUUGGCGUUCGCUUUUUCUUCCUCCCCUAAAACUUUUUCAAAUUUUGCUCUGGAUUUUCUUUUCACGAAAGGGAGAGGAACUGAAGAAACUGAUUAGUGCCCCAGCCUACAUCGAAUGUAGCGCCAAGACACAACAGCAAUAAAAGUUGUGCUUCAGCCACCAAAACAAAAGAAGAGGAAGAAGAAGUCUCAAAAGGCUUGCUCCAUACUUUGAUCAAGAAAAAUCUAGGUCUGCCGGAGAAGCGUAAAAGUGACAUGGCUUCCUAGCCAUACUGCAGUCUUCUCCCAUAGUACCUUUUCCUGUUCCCCCACAGUAAGGAAGCUGCAAGCCGUGGUGUAUAAUCUGACUGACGAUCUAGGGAUUUCUGAGGAAGCAUCAGAUGGUUUAUUUGUCAAUUUUUACUUGUGAGGCUUGAUAUGUAUUUGGUGGCUAAGCAUUCCCUUGUUGAUACUUGCCAGAUUUUAUGGAUCAGUUGUGAGGAAGAUCCCAAUUAUGAAACAAAGUUUAUCAUUCCCUUGACAAAUACCAUUAGUCUGUUUCCUUGAUUCCUGUAUAUGCACUGUAUAUUGGGUUGAUUCAUAAUCGACUUCUUUGUUUUAAUCAAUUCAAUUCUUCCGUUAUCAUUGAA